UACAGCGACCUUCAGUGCUGCCAGAAGAAAAGUAUUUGGCACAUCGUUGUAAAAGUAGGACGCACAGCAGAAAAACUUAGCCAACUUCAUCUCUGCCCCAUUCCCAGCCCUACAGAACAUCCAGUGUGCAGGCGCCUUGAGCGCAGAGAAAAACCCUGCAGUCAGAGGUGCUCAGGCAGCAAUAGAGUCAACACUAGCCCAUGGAGAAGAACGAGACCCUCUGCCCAGCUGUUAGAUGUCACUCCACUGGUGUGGAGUCAGGCCCGCUGAGACCGGCUUUCAUCCCAUCGAGCUGCUCCGUGGUGGGGCCUUUGGUAGGUGAUGGGGACAUUCGUGACGUUGGGCCCUCGCUGGCUUCCCUGUGCUUGUAGACUGUGCCUCCUUCACCUGGCCCCCUUUGAAUGAUGGAUGCUCCCCCCAUGGCCCCGGAUCUAGGAACUAGGGGGGAAGGGGGCCUGAAGGUUUGCUUGAAGCGGAGCAGAUGGUGCUCUUGGCUCAAUGGAGGUGGCCGAAGGACAUGACCUUCCUCCCGGCCUUUCUUUUGGGAAAGGAAGUCUUUGGAAGUUUGUGGCAACUGAAUAAAUCUUGUCACUUUGAUAAGCAGUGUCCCGUUCAGCUCCCUGUGUGGAGAAAGCUCCACACUUCCUCUGAUUGUUCCAGUUUAUUGAAUUUCAGUGUGUGAGACAUGAUAACCUCAUUCCUGGGGAGUUCAGAGAGGAAGUGGAGGGGCCGGCCUGGCGUAUACCCGGCAGCGCAUGAGGAGCGGUGCAGGCUGGGUUAUUCUUGGAAGUUAUUUUGAUCUGCUGGGCCCCGAUCAGCUCAUGUUUCUGUGCCCAGCCUCAGGGCCACGUAAUGGGAGGAUGAGGUGUUUCAUUAUAAUAAUAG
This is a long non-coding RNA of Diceros bicornis minor, 885 nucleotides long. RefSeq lists it as uncharacterized. The transcript is spliced from 4 exons. Lineage: Eukaryota; Metazoa; Chordata; Mammalia; Perissodactyla; Rhinocerotidae. The record is from RefSeq and is a predicted model, not a curated record.